This 24-nucleotide non-coding RNA is filed under the name Mus musculus (house mouse). The record is from RNAcentral. Lineage: Eukaryota; Metazoa; Chordata; Mammalia; Rodentia; Muridae.
UGUUAGAACCUCACCUACCUGGAC